This 494-nucleotide ribosomal RNA is filed under the name uncultured bacterium. Its description in RNAcentral is "partial 16S ribosomal RNA". It matches the Rfam family "Bacterial small subunit ribosomal RNA", at positions 28 to 507 of the family's 1533-position model. The record is from RNAcentral.
GAUGAACGCUGGCGGCGUGCUUAACACAUGCAAGUCGAACGGUGAAGCGCCUUCCUUUUUGGUGGGUGUGGAUGAGUGGCGAACGGGUGAGUAACACGUGAGUAACCUGCCCCCUUCUUCUGGAUAACCGCAUGAAAGUGUGGCUAAUACGGGAUAUUCUGGGUCUGUCGCAUGAUGGGUCUGGGAAAGAUAUUGUUUCGGUGGGGGAUGGGCUCGCGGCCUAUCAGCUUGUUGGUGGGGUGAUGGCCUACCAAGGCGGGGACGGGUAGCCGGCCUGAGAGGGUGGACGGCCACAGAGGGACUGAGACACGGCUCAGACUCCGACGGGAGGCAGCAGUGGGGAAUAGUGCACAGUGGGCACAAGCCUGAUGCAGCGACGCCGCGGGAGGGAUGGAGGCCUUCGGGUGGUGAACCUCUUUCGCCAGUGAAGCAGGCCUGCCUCGUUUGUGGGUGGGUUGACGGUAGCUGGAUAAGAAGCGCCGGCUAACUACGUG